Molecule: non-coding RNA, 76 nt
Organism: Podarcis lilfordi (Lilford's wall lizard)
Lineage: Eukaryota; Metazoa; Chordata; Lepidosauria; Squamata; Lacertidae
Source: the annotation of a GenBank genome assembly
GGGAGGAGCCAUAGCUCAGUGGUAGAGCAUCUGCUUUGCAUGCAAAAGGUCCUCAGUUAAAUUGCCAGUUUUUCCA